CCUACGGGCGGCUGCAGUGGGGAAUAUUGCACAAUGGGGGAAACCCUGAUGCAGCGACGCCGCGUGAAGGAAGAAGGAUUUCGGUAUGUAAACUUCUAUCAGCAGGGAAGAAAAUGACGGUACCUGACUAAGAAGCCCCGGCUAACUACGUGCCAGCAGCCGCGGUAAUACGUAGGGGGCACGCGUUAUCCGGAUUUACUGGGGGUAAAGGGAGCGUAGGCGGUUUAGCAAGUCAGAAGUGAAAGCCCGGGGCUCAACUCCGGGUCGGCUUUUGAAACUGUUGAACUAGAGUGCAGGAGAGGUAAGUGGAAUUCCUGGUGUAGCGGUGAAAUGCGUAGAUAUUAGGAGGAACACCAGUGGCGAAGGCGGCUUACUGGACUGUAAAUGACGCUGAGGCUCGAAAGCGUGGGGAGCAAACAGGAUUAGAUACCCUUGUAGUC
RNAcentral lists this ribosomal RNA (440 nucleotides) under uncultured bacterium. RNAcentral describes it as "partial 16S ribosomal RNA". It matches the Rfam family "Bacterial small subunit ribosomal RNA", at positions 338 to 795 of the family's 1533-position model. The record is from RNAcentral.